Molecule: ribosomal RNA, 889 nt
Filed under: uncultured archaeon
Lineage: Archaea
Description: bacterial SSU rRNA
Rfam family: Archaeal small subunit ribosomal RNA
Source: RNAcentral
UCCGGUUGAUCCUGCCGGACCCGACUGCUAUUUGGGUGAGAAUAAGCCAUGCGAGUUGAAUGGGAUACCUAAAUUUCCCAUAGCGAACUGCUCAGUAACACAUGAUCAACUUACCCUAUAGAGAAACAUAACCUCGGGAAACUGAGGAUAAUAUUUCAUAGUUGAAUAGGCUUGGAAAAGUUUUUCAAUAAAAGAGAUAAAAAAAAUGGUUUUUAUCUGCUAUAGGAUAGGAUCGUGGACGAUUAUGGUUGUUGGUGGUAACGGCUCACCAAGCCGAUAAUCGAUAGGGGCCGUGAGAGCGGGAGCCCCGAGAUGGGUACUGAGACAACGACCCAGGCCUUACGAGGCGCAGCAGGCGCGGAACCUCCGCAAUACACGAAAGUGUGACGGGGUUACCCAAAGUGUUCAAUUUUGAACUGUGGUAGGUGAGUAAUGUUCCCUACUAGAAAGGAGAGGGCAAGGCUGGUGCCAGCCGCCGCGGUAAAACCAGCUCUUCAAGUGGUCGGGAUAAUUAUUGGGCUUAAAGUGUCCGUAGCCGGUUUAGUAAGUUCCUGGUAAAAUCGGGUAGCUUAACUAUCUGUAUGCUAGGAAUACUGCUAUACUAGAGGGCGGGAGAGGUCUGAGGUACUACAGGGGUAGGGGUGAAAUCUUAUAAUCCUUGUAGGACCACCAGUGGCGAAGGCGUCAGACUGGAACGCGCCUGACGGUGAGGGACGAAAGCCAGGGGAGCGAACCGGAUUAGAUACCCGGAUAGUCCUGGCCGUAAACGAUGCAUACUAGGUGAUGGCACGGCCAUGAGCCGUGUCAGUGCCGUAGGGAAACCGUUAAGUGUGCCGCCUGGGAAGUACGGUCGCAAGGCUAAAACUUAAAGGAAUUGGCGGGGGAGCAC